This 578-nucleotide ribosomal RNA is filed under the name Cheilosia chrysocoma. RNAcentral's name for it is "eukaryotic LSU rRNA". The record is from RNAcentral. Lineage: Eukaryota; Metazoa; Arthropoda; Insecta; Diptera; Syrphidae.
GAGUUCAAGAGUACGUGAAACUGCUUAGAGGUUAAGCCCGAUGAACCUGAAUAUCCGUUAUGGAAAAUUCAUCACUAAUACUAUGAUAUUUAUAAUAUUAUAGAAAUGGUGUGCAAUUUUUCCAUAUAAGGACAUUGUAAUCUGUUAAUGUAUUAAAUAUUUAUUAAAAGAUCUUAUACUUAAGUUUAUUCAAAUUAGUUAUUUUCGGAUUUCUAACAUAGAAUAAAUGUAUUUGAUUUAAUAAAUCAUUGACAGAUUUUAUUAUAAUAUAGUGCUCAAAUUUUGAACGAAAUUUUACAAUAAUAUGAUAAUUCAAUUUGUUAUAUUUAUUGUAUGCGCUUAUAUGAUUAACAAUGCGAUAGAUUCAGGAUACCUUCGGGACCCGUCUUGAAACACGGACCAAGGAGUCUAACAUAUGUGCAAGUCAUUGGGUAUUUUUAAUAAAACCCAAUGGCAUAAUUAACUUAACUGUUUUUUAAAUGGGAUUAGUUUAUAUUUUAUUAUGAAAUAUUAAUUCAAUCCCGGGGCGUUCUAUAUAGUUAUGCAUAAUGAUAUUUAUAUUAUUUAUGUCUCUAACU